AGACCAAUUGGGAACACAAACACAUCACCCUUGUUGAGCACCUUGGUAAAGAGACGAUUGUUGUCUUGAUUUGAUGUGACAAAUCCAACAUAAAGAGUGCCUUCAAGUACUAUAAGGAUCUCUGUUCCUCUAGGGUGGAUGUGAGGUGGGUUUAAACCCUUAGGCGCAAAAUCAACGCGAGCCAAAGAUAUCCCAAGUGUGUUAAGUCCGAAUAGUUGGUCUACAGUGACAGGAGUCACUUGAGAGCCUAGUGCGUUAGAUGCAUUCCCAGCUUCAACAUGUUUGAAGAAAUCUUCAGCUUUAACAAGUGCGGGGUCUUUACAGAAUUUUCCAUUCACAAAUACUGCAAAUUAUCAAAUCAUAGUUUUGUUAUAUCAAAGAAAUUAUAGUAUAUUUUCAAGUAAUGACCUAGCUAAACCAGGAAACAACCAAGAACCAAAACAAAAGAAUCUAUAUUUACAAGGACUAAAACCAUAAAAAUAUAUUUACAGAGACUAAAACGAAAACGUAUGAUAUUUGUAAGGAGCAUCUUAUAUUAAGACUUAAAGUUAAGGAAUAUAUACAUACCACCAUCUUUGGGGUCUUUGAUUGCAACACAAAAGUCUUGGAGAGGGCUGGGAUCAUAAGCAAAGGCAAGAGAGGAUGCCAAAGCCAAGAUGCUAACAAGGAAGUAUAUAAUCUUCAUUUUUGUAACUCAGUACUACUCUUUAAUAUUCUUCUUAUGUAAAUAACUUGUGAGAGAAUUGAGUUUUGUUGCAUGUAUUGCUUGCUAUUUAUAACAAUGAAACAUUGAAGUGGUUUGCAUUUGAUAUUUACCGUCAUUAGUUUUUUUUUUUUUUUUUUUCAUAUUAAAUAAUGAACCAUUCUUUAACAACUACAUGUAUACUUGAUCUCCAAACCAAAGUCAAGACCAUUUUUAAUUGCAUGGCCGUGUCCACUUGACAUUGAAUUUACAACCUAUUCUCGUAAUGGUAAUUUUAUAAUGAAAAUAUUUUGGGCAAAAUGAAAUUAAGAUAAGUUUAGACCAACACUGUGUGUGGCAUAAAUGGUAUAUUCUUUGGUGUUUAUCCAUUUUGUCUAGGUUUGAUCUUCGGCUGGUUUCUAUGGCAAAUUAUAUGUUAAAAGAAGCCAAUCUCCUAAAUGCAUUUCAGUUAUUUAAGAUGAUUUAUCUCUCCUUUGUGCUUAGUGAUAUAUUUCUGUUUUUUUUCUUCCAGAAUUCGAACUCAAAACCUUAUAUAUAUUAUGUAUUAUUCUUAUGAGUUAAGUUUACGAGGACAUAUAUUCUUUUGUUUAAAAAUAAAAAGGAUAAAUUUUGACUUUUUCUCAAUGCUAGAGACUUAAUUAUAAAUAUUAGUUGGUGGACUUUGGAAAAUAUUUGAGUAAUUGGCACAAUCGUACCAUUACUAAUAUUUUCACACGGCAAAAUUCAAAGACCAUUUCUGAUUUACCUUUUCAACAAAUAAUUAACUUCUGAUUUUAAUUCAAAUUAAGAUAAAGUUUAGGAACUGUUCUCCUUGUAAUUGUUAUUUUAUAUUGGAAAAGCUCUAAGCUAAAUCAAAAUAAGAUCAGUUUAGACUUUGUCUUAGUUCUAGAGACUUAAUUAUAAUUGCACUCUCUUUUGUAUACUUAGAUUUUAUAUUAUGUUUGGAUUGAUCGAAUGUAAUGAAGUGAGAUGGAAUGGAAUGGUAAAUAAUUAUCUUUUAUUGUUUAGAUUUUAUCUUUUGCAUCUUCCAUCAAUACUCAUGUUACAAUUCUUAAUUUUCAGCACAAUACCCCAUCAAUUCCUCUUGCUUGCUCAGUCUUGUUUCUUGCGUUCUAUUUUUUUCGUGUGCUUUUUCAAUAUUAAAAAGGGAUCCUAUCACAUUUUCUUGCACUGGUUUUUCUGUAUUAGUUGCAAUUCUUUUUAAGGAAAUAAUAUUUUAGUCGUAAUAUAUUUGACAUGAUAAUAGUGUUUUAAAAAAGUAGAGUGGAAUUAAAAAGUUAUAACUCUUUUUGUUCCACCCACUUUUCAAACAAUGUAGUGGAAACAUUUCAUAAAAUAUCAAAAAAUGGAAUAAAAUUAUUGUGAAUUCGAGCUCAAAAUCACUCCAAUAAAUUUAGAUGUGUGGAGUAAAGGUAAGUAGUAACCAAUAUCAAAAUAACCUCGAGCAACGACAACAAUAACAAACCUAAAUCUAAUAUGACAGUCAAGUGAAAAAGCACGAAACCGCAAGCAAAAUAAAGGAGAGAAUAGAAACAAACACAAAAAAAAAAUCCAAUUCGGUCCAUGGAGCAUUGUUUUUUUUUGGGAAUGAAUGACAAAUUUUGCGAUGAUUGCCCUCAGCCUCAGUUAAUUACUUGUUGACUGGGUAAUUCGGAAAUGGUCAUUCUAUUUCGCCUUGUAUUAGUGAUGGCAUGUUUGUGACCAAAUUACUCAAGAAAUUGCCACAUUAAACUUUAAAUCCUAAUCACACGCAAUCAUCAAAAGGUAAGUUUGCAAAAGAGAGUGCAGUUAUAAUUGAGUCUCCAGAACUAAGACAAAGUCUAAACUGAUCUUAUGUUGAUUUAGCCCACAACAGAUACAAAGUACUAAACUGAUCUUAAUUUGAAUUAAAAUCAUCUCUUUUGUUAAUUAUUUGUUGAAAGGGUAAAUCAGAGAUGGUGUUUCAAUUUAUUAUAUGUGACAUAUAAUAAAGAUCACAUACAUCAUUAAUUGAAUGUAUCUAAAAAGUGAAUUUUUACUUAUAUUAGUGACCGGAGGGUGUAUUUUAGUAAUGGUAUGACUCUGCCAAUUACUCGAAUAUUUUCCAUAUUCCACCAACUAUUGUUAUAAUUAAGUCUCAAGAACUAAGAAAAAGUCUAAUUUAUCUUAGCUUUUUUUUAACAAAUGUAUUCCGUGAGAAAGUCAGAGAUUAAUCAUCCAAGAUAAUUGAAAUUCAUUUAAGAGAUUGACCUCUCUUAACGUAUAUUUUGCCAUAUGCAUCGGCCGAAGAUCGAACCCUAAACAAAUUGGUUAAAUGUUCGAAAUAUAUACCACUUGUGUCAUAUUAUGUUGGUCUAAACUUAACUUCAUUUCAUUUAGCCCAAAAUAGUAACAUUAAAAAAUUACCAUUAAGAGAACAGGUAAGGACAAGUUUAAAAAUGGUCUUGACUUUGGUUUGGAGAUCAAGCAAACAUGUAGUUGUUAAAGAAUGGUUCAUUAUUUAAUAAAAAACUAAUGACAGUAAAUAUCAAAUGCAAAAAUACAUCAAUGUUUCAUUCUUAUAAAUAGCAAGCAAUAUAUGCAACAAAACUCAAUUCUCAAAAGUUAUUUACAUAAGAAGAAUAUUAAAGGGUAGUACUGAGUUGCAAAAUGAAGAUUUUAUACCUCCUAGUUAGCAUCUUGGCUUUGGCAUCCUCUAUUGCCUUUGCUUAUGACCCCAGCCCUCUCCAAGACUUUUGUGUUGCAAUCAAAGACCCCAAAGAUGGUGGUAUGUAUAUUAUAUACUCCUUAACUUUAAGUCUUAAUAUAAGACGCUCCUUACAAAUGUCAUACGUUUUCGUUUUAGUCUCUAUAAAUAUAUUUUUAUGGUUUCAGUCCUUGUAUAUAUAGAAUCUUUUGUUUUGGUCCUUAGUGAUUUUUGGUUUAGCAAGGUCAUGACCGGAAGAAUUAUACUACUAAAAUUUCUUUGAUAUAACAAAACUAUUAUUUGAUAAUUUGCAGUAUUUGUGAAUGGGAAAUUCUGUAAAGACCCUGCGCUUGUUAAAGCUAAAGAUUUUUUCAAACAUGUUGAAGCUGGGAAUGCCUCUAAUGCCUUGGGCUCUCAAGUGACUCCAGUCACCGUAGACCAACUAUUCGGACUUAACACACUUGGUAUAUCUUUGGCUCGCGUUGAUUUUGCCCCUAAGGGUUUAAACCCACCUCACAUCCACCCUAGAGGAACAGAGAUCCUUAUAGUACUCGAAGGCACUCUUUAUGUUGGAUUUGUCACGUCCAAUCAAGACAACAAUCGUCUCUUCACCAAAGUGCUCAACAAGGGUGAUGUGUUUGUGUUCCCGAUUGGUCUUAUUCAUUUUCAGCUGAAUGUGGGAUAUGGCAACGCUGUUGCUAUUGCUGGACUUAGCAGUCAAAACCCAGGAGUUAUCACUGUAGCAAAUGCUUUGUUUAAAUCGAAUCCGCUUAUUUCCGACGAAGUUCUUACCAAAGCAUUUCAAGUGGAUAAGAGCAUAAUUGAUUAUCUUCAAAAGCAGUCUUGGUACGACAACAACUAGUUGGAGAACAUGAAUAUAAUAGUCCAUGGUUUACUCUGAAUGGAUAAUUGACUUUCGUUCUUCAAUCACCUUGUGUAAUCAACCAUCUCUACUUAUAUUAUUGUAAUAAAUAAAAUACAUGUUUGUUUGACUACAUAGUUGUUUUGUUAUGAUUUUAAUUUUGUUGAAUAAUGGAUUGUUGUUGUGAUUUCUCUAAAAUGAUAAUUUUCUAUAUCCCAUCCAUUAGCAUGUUAAUUAGAAUUAUUCAUGGGUGCUUUCUAGUUAUGUUUUUAUCUUCAUUGACACUAUUAUAUCAGUUUACAUUACUAAGUCUUUAUGAUUCUCUGCAUAACAAUACAACAAAACAAAACAUAUGAGAAUUAGCAAGAGUAGCAUUUAUGCAGUCAUAAUGUGAUCAAUAAUACUAUCAUUAAAAAUAAUUUAAUAUAUCUUUUUAAAUGUUUUGUCUUCAUUGACACCUUUGGCAUCCAAUAAGCUAAGUUGAUUUGUUGAAGAUAGAAGCCUAACUCACUUUCAAUCAGUUAUCACUACAUUAUUUUGUCUCUCUAUGAUUCACUGCAUAAUAAUGCAACAAAACACAAGAUAUAGCAAGAGUACUGUUCAUGCAGCCAGAAUGUGUUCAACUUCAAUACAGUUAUAACACGUUAAAGUUACCAAACAGGUCGUAUGUAGGGGAUACUUAUGAAUAAAUAUCCAUAAGUGACAUUAUGGGUGUCAACAUUUGAAAAUCAAGCAAAACAUAAAUAUGAAUGUUCUGUCACAAUCCAAUAGAAUUUAAAGAUCAAGAAAUUUGGUGGAAGUCAAAGGUCUCACAGAAGAACAAAUAAUAGUCAAACCUUAAUGAAAAUUAUUUACCCCCUAAAAUAUUAGCGAUUUCCGGUUUACCCCUGUAAAAAAAAUUGUUUUGAUUUCAACACUUUAAUUUGAAGAUUUUUGGUUUUGAACCUUCAUGAAUUUUGACUCUACAAAAUCGAUGAUAUGGUAGAGGGUAAAUCGAAAUAUCGAUGAUAUUGCAGGGGGUAAACCGAAAUUCCUUCAAAUUACAAGGGGCAAGAGUACCUUAAAUUUUUUAAUUUGAUGCCAUGAAGGUUCAAAAUCAAAAAAUCUUCAAAUUACAGGAUUGGAAUCUAAACAAUUUUUUUACAGGAAGGUAAACCGAAAAUCACUAAUAUUAGAGGGGGUUAAACAUAUAUUAACCCUUAUUAAUACUAUCAUUCUGAAUAAUUUCAUAUAUCAUUUCAAACUUUAAAUUUCCGUCUUCAUUGGCACCUUUGGCAUUCAUAAAGCUAGUUGAUUUUUUUGUAUUCAUUUCAUUUGCAAUUAAUUCAGCAUUGACAACUUUUUUUUUUGAACAAGUUCAGCAUUGACAAUUGUAUUUGAAAAACCAGUUCAUAUAUGCUCACUACUUGAAAUUCUUCAAUUUGCUAAGGAUUUUGAUGUCAAUUCUGCAGCAAACACAUUUCCUGCGAAUUUUGAUAAGGAUUAAGGUUUCCGCUAAUACCUUUGUGGGUAAUUGUUUCCUGAGGAUUUUAGGAACCGCAGAAAAAUUACAGGCGGAAAUUUCCUUUGAAAAACUGAAUAAAAUCUGCAGGAAAUUUCCGCCCAUGAUAUGUAUCCUGCAUACAUUCCGCAGGAAAAAACCGUGGAAACUCUGCUUAAAAAUAAUAUUUGUAGAUAAAACCGCAGGAAAAAUCUUUAAGGAAACAAAUAUCCGUUGGUAAAUCCGCAGCUAUUGCAUUUUGAUAUAUUUUUUUUUAAUAGGAAGAUGAUGAAUGCAUUUUGAAAAUUUUUCAUGUAUUUAUCAAAUCUUUUACCGCUUUUGUAUGUGUGUGUGGGAUACUCGUUCACUAUCCCGGAAGGUCCUAUUGCGGAUAAGUUGGUGGAAUUAGAAGAGGUUUAUGGUUUGACAAAUGAUAAAAGGGAGACGGUAGAGGUUACUCAAUGAUUGUGUCCUCUUUUAAUAUGAGAGGUUUGGGUGGGCGGUUGGAGAAAAAGAAGAUUAAGGCGUUAAUUUGCGAUAGUAGGUGGACUUUAUGGUCAUCCAAGAAACAAAAUUGGAACUUCUUACGAAUCAUUUAUAUUGUAGCCUUUGGGGGAGUGAUGAUUAUCCAUGGGCGUUCGAAUCCCUUUGUAGAGAAAUAGUGGAGGUAUCUUGUCCUUGCGGAGUAAGUCAAACUCUAACCUUCUUUUCUCUUUUACAGGAAAAGGUUUUGUUGGGGUGUGUUUGGAGUGGGGAGUGUUGAAGAAUAGGACCUUUGUUGUUAAUUAUGUCUAUUCUAAAUGUGACUUAAUGGAAAAGAGGACGUUAUGACAUUCUUUGUUGGAGGUGAAGAGGGGUUUGGGUGAGGGUGCUUGGUGCAUAUUAUAGGUGAUUUUAAUGCAGUGUGUUGUUCGGAAGAAAGAAAGGUGUUGAAAAUGCCAGCAAAAGUUCAAAAGAGGAUAACUGAAAUACAAAGGUGUUGAACAAGUGACUUCAAACAUACAAGAGGCAAGUGAAUUAUGAUCUUUAAAAAAUGGUUCAAGAAAGCACUUAAAAAAUAUUUUAACUAAAAGAAAUAAAAUGCUUGAAAAAGUUUUUAAUAAAGAUGAAAACUAAAGAUAUUGUGCUAAAAUAAAUAACAAAUCACUACCAAAAAAAAAAAUAAAGUAAAAGAGAUAAAGAGAUGAGAGAAAAGACACAUGGUUAAUUAGAUUGCUGAAGAGAUUAAGGUUUGAUUGUUAUUUGUUCUUUCGUGUAACCUUUAACUUCCACCAAUUUUCUUCAUGUUUAAAUUCUAUUGGAUUGUGGCAGAACAUUGGUCUUUAUGUUUUGCUUGAUUUUCAGAUUUUUUCAGUUGUUUUCGGCUUCCAAUUUAAGAUUUUCUAUAUCGGACUUCAGAAAAGUUUAAAAUUAAAGCAUUGUCAUUUGUCUUAGGGCUUUGAAAAUGUCAUUCCAAAAGUAGCUUAAUUUCAACAUAAUGUCACUUAUGGAUGUGGGUUAGUUAUUCAUAGUCCCUUGAUCUGUUUGGUAACUUUAACGUGUUAUAACUGUAUUGAAGUUGAACACGUUCUGGCUGCAUAAAUAGAACGCUUGCUAUAUCUUGUGUUUUGUUGCAUUGUUAUGCAGAGAAUCAUAGAUAGACAAAAUAAUGUAGUUAUAACUUAUAGUAUGUGAUUCAGGCUUCUAUCUUCGACAAAUCAACUUUGCUUUAUGGAUGCCAGAGGUGUCAAUGAAGACAAAACAUUUAAACUGAUAUAUUAAAUUAUUUUAAAUGAUAGUAUUGUUGAUCACAUUCUGACUGCAUAAAUCCUACUCUUGCUAAUUCUCAUAUGUUUUGUUGUAUUUUGUUAUGAAGAAAAUCACAAUGAAUAAUUCUAAUUAACAUGAUAAUGAAUGGGAUAUAGAAAUCACAACAACAAUCCUUAUUAAACCAAAUUAAACCCAAAACAAAACAACUAUGUAUUCAAAUAAAUCACAUGCAUUUUAUUUUAUACAAUAAUAAUAAGUAGAUAGGUUGAUUGCACAAGGUGAUUGAAGGACUAAAGUCAACUAAUCAUGUUCUCAAACUAGUUGUUGUCAUACCAAGACUGCUUUUGAAGAUAAUCAAUUAUGCUCUUAUCCACUUGAAAAGCUUUGGUAAGAACUUCGUCGGAAAUAAGAGGAUCUGAUUUAAACAAAGCAUUUGCAACAGUGAUAACUCCUGGAUUUUGACUGCUAAGUCCAGCAAUAGCAACGGCGUUGCCAUAUCCCACAUUCAGUUGAAAAUGAAUAAGACCAAUUGGGAACACAAACACAUCACCCUUGUUGAGCACCUUGGUAAAGAGACGAUUGUUGUCUUGAUUUGAAGUGACAAAUCCAACAUAAAGAGUGCCUUCAAGUACUAUAAGGAUCUCUGUUCCUCUAGGGUGGAUGUGAGGUGGGUUUAAACCCUUAGGCGCAAAAUCAACACGAGCCAAAGAUAUACCAAGAGUGUUAAGUCCGAAUAGUUGGUCUACAGUGACUGGAGUCACCUGAGAGCCUAGUGCGUUAGAGGCAUUCCCAGCUUCAACAUGUUCGAAGAAAUCUU
RNAcentral lists this long non-coding RNA (8276 nucleotides) under Medicago truncatula (barrel medic). Its description in RNAcentral is "long non-coding RNA (MTRU_LNC001463)". The record is from RNAcentral. Lineage: Eukaryota; Viridiplantae; Streptophyta; Magnoliopsida; Fabales; Fabaceae.